Molecule: non-coding RNA, 113 nt
Organism: Acanthosepion pharaonis
Lineage: Eukaryota; Metazoa; Mollusca; Cephalopoda; Sepiida; Sepiidae
Source: the annotation of a GenBank genome assembly
UUACGACCAUAACACGUUGAAACACCGAUUCCCGUACUAUCACCGAAGAUAAACAACGUCGUGCUUGAUCAGUAUCUAGAUGAGUGACCGCUUGAGAAUACGAGAUGCGGUAA